RNAcentral lists this ribosomal RNA (571 nucleotides) under Paecilomyces variotii. RNAcentral describes it as "eukaryotic LSU rRNA". It matches the Rfam family "Eukaryotic large subunit ribosomal RNA", at positions 55 to 641 of the family's 3401-position model. Lineage: Eukaryota; Fungi; Ascomycota; Eurotiomycetes; Eurotiales; Thermoascaceae. The record is from RNAcentral.
GGAAAAGAAACCAACAGGGAUUGCCCCAGUAACGGCGAGUGAAGCGGCAAGAGCUCAAAUUUGAAAUCUGGCCCCUCCGGGGUCCGAGUUGUAAUUUGCAGAGGAUGCUUCGGGCGCGGUCCCCGUCUAAGUACCCUGGAACGGGUCGUCAUAGAGGGUGAGAAUCCCGUCUGGGACGGGUGGCCGUGUCCGUGUGAAGCUCCUUCGACGAGUCGAGUUGUUUGGGAAUGCAGCUCUAAAUGGGUGGUAAAUUUCAUCUAAAGCUAAAUAUUGGCCGGAGACCGAUAGCGCACAAGUAGAGUGAUCGAAAGAUGAAAAGCACUUUGAAAAGAGAGUUAAACAGCACGUGAAAUUGUUGAAAGGGAAGCGCUUGCGACCAGACUCGCCCGCGGGGGUUCAGCCGGUACUCGUACCGGUGUACUCCCCCGGGGGCGGGCCAGCGUCGGUUUGGGCGGUCGGUCAAAGGCCUCCGGAAUGUGUCGCCCCCCGGGGCGUCUUAUAGCCGGAGGUGCAAUGCGGCCAGCCUGGACCGAGGAACGCGCUUCGGCUCGGACGCUGGCGUAAUGGUCGA